UGUUAUCAUGGAGUAAUUAUUGAGAUUUGUAGUAGUACGAGAAUGGGGAAGAGAGAGAUCAAAAGAAGAGGGUUGGGUGGUGUCAAAGGAGGGAAGAUCAGAAGAAUGAGAGGAAACAAGGGAAAUAGGGAAAGUAGUAGAAUGAUGAGAAGAUGUGGGUUGCGAGAUUAUUAAGGGAAUGGGAGCAGGGUUAGGAGGAAGGAUUUCUGGAGAAGAAUGUGGAACAAAAUUGUAUUGUGGUAUAUUAUAUGGAAAAAGAUAUUCUUGAAAAAGAACAUGAC
This 281-nucleotide long non-coding RNA is filed under the name Phaseolus vulgaris (common bean). RNAcentral's name for it is "long non-coding RNA (PVUL_LNC004554)". Lineage: Eukaryota; Viridiplantae; Streptophyta; Magnoliopsida; Fabales; Fabaceae. The record is from RNAcentral.